AAAUAUUUAUUUUGGAGGUAUAGUUUUCCUUUAACAGGUCAGUAUGUGCUCCCUACUUUAUUGGUUGCUAUAGAUAAGUGAAGCAUCUUAUUGCAUUAACCCUUUGGUCUUUUGGAAGGCUAGGCCUCCUUAUAUUAUUCUUCAGGAAAUGCCGUUGGCAUGACCUGGUUUACCCAUAUUCUUCACUUGUGGACUAAAUUCCAAUGGUUCUGAAAUUUCUGGUUCCAACAACAACUCACAGGCAACACUAUCCUCCUUUGUGUCCAGGGAUAUAGAGGAAACGUGUAAAUGAGAGAUCUAAAAGGAGCUUACAAUCUAAAAAAAAAAAUUAAGCGGUAGCAUUUGAUCCUUUUAUCGGCAGCAUUUCCAAGACUAUACCUCCUCCAGUAGAACUGGGUCCAUUUCAUUAUGUUUUGGUUCAGGGGAAACUGAGACUGGAGACAUAAUAUGAAUAUAGCUUGUCAAACUCUUAGAACACAAUACUAGUGCCUUCUAAUAAGGGUGGGAAUGAGUUAUUCAUGCAAUGGUUUACUCUUAGUUGUGGUACCUCCAGUUCAAAGAAGGGGGCCAAAACAUAUGGAUGCAAAGGGGGAAAUCUAGUUUAACAAAAAAAAAAUCCUGCAAGGGUAGACCAGCACAACACUGGUAGCAAAGGUCACCUUAAGUAGGAGUCUGUCCAGUUGCAAAAGCCAGUAGUAUAUAAAUCACUGAGAAGAGAUGUGUCUUGGAGAUGGCAAGUCAAAAUCCUGAAUGGAAUCCUAUGGAAGAACAAAUGGAAUUUAAGACGUAACCGGAAAACCCAAGGCUAACUGCCCUUUCAUUUUAAACAUUAUAUUUUGAGGACCCAGGGCUUUUUAAUGUGAAUCACCCACAUGACUGAUGCAAUUGCCUUCAAAUAUUAUUGGUUCUGCUGGUGUUUUAAGUUUCGAAUUUUCACUGCUUUAUUGUUGCUAGGGCUUAAUUACUCUAGCAACCAGGCAGCAGCUAAGCAUGUGUUUAACUCUUGUUUUAUGGCACUGUAUUAGUAGUUACCUGCAGGUCAGCACAAAAGUUGAACCGCCCUCAACCCUAACCCAACUUCUGAGGUGUCAUUCUUUAUAUACCUGGAUCAGACUACGGCCCAUUUCAUCCUCUAGAUCUUUGGGGAGUGUUGGAGAAGAGCAGAGCUCAUCCACAGCAACCAGGGGUACCUUGUGGGGCUAAAGCAAGGGCACAAGAACCUCCAGUUAAAUUAAGUCAAAUCCACCACAAGCUGGAACAUAAAAGACAGCAACCUUCAACCAAGGACCUCCAACUACAAUGUUGAUAUUUUAGAACAAAAGCUUGAAGGCUAGACACCAACCUGAGUAUUGUUUACUGCUGGAGGCAGCUGCCCAUUAGUCAGAAUGGUGGGAAGAACUUCCCUUAGAGGGUAUAUUUACCUCUUUAGGAUCAGGGUCACAUUUCUUCAGUCCGGGUGUCAUGGCUUCCCACUGUUUGAUCAAAGGAGUCGGCAUUGGGGCUGGGUUGGGUGCUGAUAAGGUGGAUGCACCCAACCCAGGAGACGUCCACAAUCUUCUUGGUUCUGAGUGCCUGAUAUCGGGAGACAUUCCCCAGGGAUUCAAAGCGUCUGAAUGGUGACACUUCAUGUCCAUUUCUUUAUAUUCCUCUGUAUUUCACUUUCCUGCUCUGGUUUUGAGUUAGAGCUACAAAGUGUCUAACUAGAAUAAAUAAUUUAAAAAGUGUACUAAAACCGGUUGUUGCACAAUUAUAGAAAAUGUAUUAACCCUUUAAAAAUUCAAAGUCAAUUGUUAAUCAUAUAAAAACUGUCCAGCCAGGAUUCAGAUUUAAUUCAGUGUAAAUUCAUAAAUAAAUGAACAAUCAAUAACUUAAAAAUCACAAUAAUAAAAUCAUUCCCUUAUGAGUCCAAAAAAGAUUUUAAACAUGGCAAAAGUCUUUGUGUGAGAGUGAUAGUUCUCCAAAAGCAAUCCAAAUCCACAAUGUUAAGGGUGAGUAGUAUUACUCUUAUAGCAUAGUCUCAAUAGUAUUUAUAACUCGGUAGAGUAAAGUAAAUAGUAUAGCUCUUACAGUGUAGUCUCAAUAGCUGUUUAUACACAUGGAAUGUGCAAAAUGUUGUAUGUGGGGUAAAGGGUUUAUCGGGGGGUCCCCCACAUUAUAGAGAUUCCGGGGAGAGUGGCUGAGAAACCAAACAAGUUCUGACCUUUUUCUCCCAUGAGCCAUCAGAGCAGAAAUUCAUUCAUCUUAAAUCUACCCGAAACCAACCUUCUGCACCCCCUCCAUUGCUCCAACCCUUUCACUGGGGUCAAAAUGUUUUGGACCAAUUGAUAACACAUUUUUUGUUACUUUCCUCCUUAUUUCCAGAAAUGUCUAAAAAAAAUUAUAAAAACCUUGUUCUUCUCUUGCAGCAUUCCCAGCUUCAAUGUUUGUUGGAGGCACUUCUGGAAUAUCUUCCUUAGUCUUCACUACAGGGGGAUCUGGAACAUUGUCAAAAUAUCCGCAGUCCAGGAGCUUAAUAGCCAGUUCCUUUAAAUAUUUAUCUGAAUCAAAUCAAAGAGGAUUCCCUUAAAGACAAUGGAUUCCUCGUCCAAAGUGUUUCUCUUUCUGCAAAUGAAUAGAUGCUCUCAAGGUGUUAAAACUACAACUCCAUAAACGACCACCCAUCAGUGGUCAGUGGUAACUGGGAGUUCAUUUUCAGAACCUCAGGGCCCAUUUGAGCUCAGUGUUUAUAACAGGUGUGGCCUAAUGUAAUUGACCCACAGAAAAUUUGUGUUAUAUAGAAAUUCUUUUUCAAGUUAAUGCUAAAUGGUGUCCCAGGUAUGCACUGCUCAGCCAUACUCAUGCAACCUACAUAAAUGUAUAGAAAGUUUUGGCUACAUAGCUUACAGAUUGUAGCAGCCACUGUUUUCUCGCUGCCUUCAAACAAGUUCCAGAAGUAGGUUGAACACUGAUCCAUCUGGUCUUCAAAACUUGAAACAGAAGAAUUGUGGUCAAUGAGUAAUUUGUGCACUUCAUCUUAAGAACAUCUAGGUGACAAGCAAGGUCUACUUUGUCAUUAUCAGAAGAUGCAAGAUAAAUCUACAUUUCACCAUU
Molecule: long non-coding RNA, 3090 nt
Organism: Xenopus laevis (African clawed frog)
Lineage: Eukaryota; Metazoa; Chordata; Amphibia; Anura; Pipidae
Exons: 2
Source: RefSeq, a predicted model, not a curated record